RNAcentral lists this ribosomal RNA (253 nucleotides) under uncultured bacterium. Its description in RNAcentral is "partial 16S ribosomal RNA". It matches the Rfam family "Bacterial small subunit ribosomal RNA", at positions 524 to 776 of the family's 1533-position model. The record is from RNAcentral.
UACGUAGGUGGCAAGCGUUGUCCGGAAUUAUUGGGCGUAAAGCGCGCGCAGGCGGUCCUUUAAGUCUGAUGUGAAAGCCCACGGCUCAACCGUGGAGGGUCAUUGGAAACUGGGGGACUUGAGUACAGAAGAGAAGAGUGGAAUUCCACGUGUAGCGGUGAAAUGCGUAGAGAUGUGGAGGAACACCAGUGGCGAAGGCGACUCACUGGCCCGGUACUGACGCUGAGGCGCGAAAGCGUGGGGAGCAAACAGG